UACGAAGGGGGCUAGCGUUGCUCGGAAUCACUGGGCGUAAAGGGUGCGUAGGCGGGUCUUUAAGUCAGGGGUGAAAUCCUGGAGCUCAACUCCAGAACUGCCUUUGAUACUGAGGAUCUUGAGUUCGGGAGAGGUGAGUGGAACUGCGAGUGUAGAGGUGAAAUUCGUAGAUAUUCGCAAGAACACCAGUGGCGAGGGCGGCCCACUGGCCCGAUACUGACGCUGAGGCACGAAAGCGUGGGGAGCAAACAGG
This 253-nucleotide ribosomal RNA is filed under the name uncultured bacterium. RNAcentral's name for it is "partial 16S ribosomal RNA". It matches the Rfam family "Bacterial small subunit ribosomal RNA", at positions 524 to 776 of the family's 1533-position model. The record is from RNAcentral.